AGCUCUUUAUUGAUCCGUUUCUAAUGCAAGUGAUGACAGGAAGUUGUUUCACAGACGUUUUGGACACUAGUUGCUGAGAAUAUUGGAAAGACGAGGCCAAUUAAUUUUUUUUUGGCUUUAGACUGAAGUCAUAUGGGUUUACAAUUUCAGCUUCUAUCAUCUGUUGAUGUGUUAAACCACAUACACUUUAUGGACAAAAGUUUGUGGAGAAUUCGGUGUAAGAUUCAUGUGUGCUUCUUUUUUCUUUUCACAUUUAGUCAUCAUUUUCUGUUCUAAUAACCUCCAUUCUUAUGGGAAGAUGUUAGAUUUUGUGGAGAAAAUUCAUUCAGCCACAAUGGUGUUGGUAAAGUGAGUUGAGGAGGUUCUUGGGGUGCGGUCAGUGUGAGCUCAACAGGAGAUCUUCCACUCCAAACCAUGUAAAGCAUGUCUUCAUGGUGCUGGCUUUGUGCCCAGGGGCAUUGUCAUGCUGGAACAGAUUUGGGUCUCCAAGUUCAAGUGAAAGGAAAAUUGAAUGCAUCCAAAGAAAUUUUCUAUAAUUUUGUGCCUUAAGCUUUGUAGUAAAGGUUUGGAGAAAAAGCAAAUAUGGAAAAAUCCUAAUACUUUUGUCCAUAAUGUGUAAACUAUAACAUAUUUUAUAUCAGGUAAUAUGUGUCCAAAACUAUUGGAAUAUGCGACUGAUAAAUUGUUACAUUGUUUAAUUGACUGUUCACAAAAUAUACAGCUCUACAACAUUUGGUUGUAGACAAAACAAAAAUGUUGAAUGUCCUGUGAAGAGAAAAUACCACAGGAGUACUGAGCAACAGACACUGAAUGAGCUGGUCAAGUAAAACCACAACAGCUAAAAAACAAGAUACAUUGUGUGGAGAAAAAUCUAAACAAAAGGACAGUCAAGGAAUGAAAUCCACCUUUCUGUCUCAAUUGUCUUGUGUGUAUUUAUCCCUGAUGAGCAGCCUUGGCGACUGUGGGAAGGAAAAACCUCCCUAAGAUGUUAUGAGGAAGAAACCUUGAGAGGAACCAGACUCAAAAGGGGAACCCAUCCUCUUCGAAAGAGAUUGAAACUAUGCAAGGCAGCAUCAAAAAACUUCGAGACUAGUUUUGUAAUACGCACAGUCACAGUGAGCACCGACCUUCAUAAGUCAGAGCACCAAAAGACAUAGCUGUCUACAUUAUGUGUACAUGCUAUUCUGACCACAAGCUCUCCUCACACACGAGUUUCUUGCUGGAAACAUGAUCUUACUUCCACAUCCACCCUACUCUCCAGAUUUGACGCUUGCAGACUUUGCUCUCCUCUCAAAGAUAAAGAUUAGCUCAAAAGUCUUGACACCCUUGUGAAGAUCCGGCGCGAAUAGCAGAAGGCCCUUGACACGCUUCAAAAAGAAGACCGGACACAUUCCAGUGGCAGGAACUCUGGGAGCGAUGUAUUGCUGUACAAGGGGACUAUUUUAAAGGUGACAGCGUGUACAUAAUAAAGUACAUUAAUGUACACAGCACUAGUCUCAGAACUUUUUGAUACCACCUCGUAAAUGGUUAAAAAGUACUGUAUGAUCCAUAAUUCACAUAUAAAAAUAUGUAAUUGGCACACCACUGUGGUAAAAACUGGGGGUAAACACCAAACCGGCGAUGUUGCUUUCAGAAAUCCGGCAGAUUAAACCACUUCCUUUGCUUACCCACAAUGCCUUUGUCUCAAGCUUUACUUAUCUCGCAAACAUUCUCGCUGUCUUUCAUACAAACGCUUCUCGCUAAACCUCCUACUCCUCCUCCCUUCGCAUUCCCAUAAUGCCCCUCUCUCCCACUCUCUCUCUCUCUCUAGCUCUCCACACAUGUCUUCCAUACUGGGUUUUGUUUUCCUCUCAUGGAGUUUUGGCAGCAGUCCAAGCGAUACCAUUCGGUCUCCUUUCACCAUGAGCUUAGAGACCGUGCCAACGCCUUUACCCGGACCACAAACACCUCACCAGUGAACACUGCCAAUGGCCAGAAAGAAAGAGAGAAUGAAAACAGGCAGAGGGUGGAAGAGCCUGACAAAAGAAUACCACAGGAGGGGACGGCGCAAAUUGAAAAAAAAAAAAAAAACUACAACGGGAGUUCUCGGUAUCCGGACAAACUCAAGAAAAGGAGAUGAUAUCUAUCCGCGUUUUCCGAUUUCGGAAAGGAACGCAAUAUGGAUUAGGGACUCCAAGGACACCUUUUUUUCAAUCAACUUUCCGAGAAGGUAGGAAAGCAGAUUGGCCACAUAAAUACCAAAGGAGAAAGUAUUCCUUUGGACUACCGUUACACGUGGCUAUCUUUCCGUCGGUGUUGAACCCGUGCCACGUUGUCAGUCUAGAGUUGGCGAGAAAUGCCAACUGGCUGCGGACUAGCAGCGCUAUAAGGUGGGCAUAUGGCUGUGCUCUGAUUGGCUGGAUGGCUACCGCAGGUGGAAAUUUGGCUACGUUCACAUUGUCCAGAUCCUGCACAGCGCCGCGCGUCUGUAGGAAUCUUCCGGAACAUUCUGGCACUGCUGGGUUUUGGGAAGAGGUGGAUUAAAAUAGCUGAGGAGAGGGAAAUUGGCCGGACAAGCAGCGAUCUAUCCACACAUGUACGGCAGCCCUGGAUGCCGCAGUUACCCGCAUCUACUCCGCCAUGAAGCAGAGACUUCUCAAUCCACACACACACACCACAUGUUCUGUUCACACCCGUAUCCAGGCAACCCUUGCCGGUUGCCAUGGAGAGAACCCCCUCCCUCUUCAAUCACCCCACCUUGCCAACACAAACAUCCUCAGCUACUGCUGGCAAGAUGGAGGCAUGCAUGUCUGAAGGAACUGCAGGAGAAUUCUGAUGGGCCUCAGACUCUCACUCAAUUAUACCCAUCCACCAAACACACACAGCCCCAGGAACAAGAAGGACAGAAGGGAUGAGGCCUGUGGUGCUUCAGAGGCAUCAGAGGCAAAAGGCUCAAAUCCUUUUGAUCGAUUUUUCUAUCCGGGUCAAAUAAAUGAAUUAAAAGUG
Long non-coding RNA from Silurus meridionalis, 2985 nucleotides. RefSeq lists it as uncharacterized. NCBI's taxonomy places the organism in Eukaryota, Metazoa, Chordata, Actinopteri, Siluriformes, Siluridae. The transcript is spliced from 2 exons. The record is from RefSeq and is a predicted model, not a curated record.